This is a non-coding RNA of Cyanistes caeruleus (blue tit), 3055 nucleotides long. NCBI's taxonomy places the organism in Eukaryota, Metazoa, Chordata, Aves, Passeriformes, Paridae. The record is from RefSeq and is a predicted model, not a curated record.
CCCUGCCCUCUCCAAAAGAAUUCCCCAGGCUCAGUAGCCUGGCCUUGGCAGCAGGGUCCAGCACAUUUUUAUUUCUUCUGCUGAAACAAGGAUCGUGUCUACAGCAGCUUUUAAAUGAGAAGAGCUUUGAGCUGGAAAAUGAGCGGCUGCUUCGCUGCUUUUAGGCAAUAACAUUCUUAAUAUUCCUGUCUUCCAGUCCUGUUCCCCUAGGAUAACUGGGAUGAGCUGAAUUGUGAUUGUUGUUUGACUGUCGUGCUUUUGCCUCUGGUGACCACUGUGGUUGAUUCCUCUUGUGUUAAACAACAGCCUUGCUGAGUGCUUGGGGCAGAGUUGUAUUUUAAGGCUGCAGUCAUUUUUUUCUCCCCCAAAUUUCCACUGGAUAUUGCUGGUGACUCUCAUAACUACGUGAGAAGCUGCCAGCAGCUGGUCUGAGCUUUGACUGUCUGUUCAAAAUGAGCUUCUAACCUGAUGCUUCGAGUGCUCUGGCUAGAAAAGCAAUUUCAGGCGCUUCCCGCGAGCAGCCGGGAGAGGAGCACUGAGGAAAGCCAGCCCGGGGGAAGUUGAAAGGCAACUUUGAACGCCGAGGAGGUCGGGGCUGGCCAAGGCGCCGCAGCCGUGUCCCCGUCGUGCUGCCGGGAGCGGCUGGCUGCAGCUGGGACAGGGACAGCCGCGUUAUCCGCUGCGAUCUGCCGCCUGAUUUCCAGGAGAAGAAGAAUGCCAACACCAAGAUGAAGUAGAGCGUUUCCUAUGCUGGCGGCGGCGCCCACACGCUGGUGUCGGCUGGGUAGGGACAGGCUCUCGCCUCUGGCCAAACCCAUUCCCGGGACAAGAUGAAGCCGAGGAGGAGCUUCCCGCCGCGCUGGAGCCGCAGUGACUGCUGCCCGCUUUAAAGCCCAUGUGCCACCGUCCCCGGCGAGAUGAAAGAAGUGGUGCUGUGGUCACCCGAGGAGGUGACCAACUGGCUGACGGACAAUGCCGUGCCGGAGUACUGUGAGCCCCUGAAGAGCUUCACCGGGCGGGACCUCAUCAACCUGACGGAGGAAGAUUUCAAGAAAUCCCCUCUGUCCCGGGUGUCUUCCGACAGCGGCCAGCGGCUGUUGAACAUGAUCGAGGGGCUGAAGAUGGCUCACCACAUGGAGGCUCACAAGAACGGCCACACCAACGGGCACGUGCGCGCCGGCGACGCCGCGCGCCAGAACGGCUUCGGCGCCGCGCUCAAGCUCAAUGGGGUCCCCAACGGGUUCAAGAAGGAGAUGAUCAAGAUCCCCAUGCCGGAGCCGGAGCGCUCGCAGUAUCCCAUGGAGUGGGGCAAGACUCUCCUGGCUUUUAUUUAUGCACUUUUUUGUUUUGUCUUCACCACGGUGACUAUCUCGGUGGUUCAUGAACGAGUGCCUCCCAAGGAGGUGCAGCCUCCCCUCCCAGAUGCAUUUUUUGAUCGCUUUGAUCGGGUGCAAUGGGCUUUUUCUAUUUGUGAAAUCAACGGCAUGAUCCUUGUAGGACUGUGGUUUGUUCAGUGGCUGCUCUUAAAGUACAAGUCUAUAAUUAGCAGAAGAUUUUUCUGUAUAGUUGGCACACUAUACCUGUACCGGUGUAUUACCAUGUAUGUGACUACACUCCCAGUACCUGGAAUGCAUUUCAAGUGUUCUCCAAAGCUCUUUGGAGACUGGGAAUCUCACCUGCGAAGGAUAAUGAAGUUGAUUGCUGGCGGAGGCUUGUCCAUCACGGGCUCCCACAACAUGUGUGGGGACUACCUGUACAGCGGCCACACCGUCAUCCUAACCCUCACCUACCUGUUCAUCAAAGAGUAUUCCCCACGGCGACUCUGGUGGUACCACUGGAUCUGCUGGGCACUCAGCAUGGUGGGGAUGUUCUGCAUCCUCCUUGCUCAUGACCACUACACUGUGGACGUGGUGGUGGCUUACUACAUCACUACAAGGCUAUUCUGGUGGUACCACACAAUGGCCAACCAGCAAGUGCUAAAAGAAGCUUCCCAAACUAACCUCCUUGCAAGGGUCUGGUGGUACAAGCCCUUCCAGUACUUUGAGAAGAAUGUCCAAGGAAUUGUACCUCGCUCCUACCACUGGCCCCUGCGGUGUCCGGCGCUGGCGCGGGGCCGGCAGGUCAAGUACAGCCGCCUGGUGAGCGACACGUAACAGUGUCACCUCAGCCCCGAAAGGACCUGUCCCAAGUGCUCACAACUCCAAGAGAAGAUGCCAUAAACAAAAAUCCACCGCUCCCUAACCCUUUCUUUAGCAGCUCCCUGGACCUGACCUAUUCAGUUACCUGGCCAUCCGAUGUGGACUGUACGGAAACUGCAAUGAUGUGGAAUUGCUGUUGGGCAAAACAGUGCCUUAUCUGAAAUAAAAGCUAUGCAAUCGAUGCCGAGCGGGCGGGAGGAGCCUUCCUGGGAGCCAUCUCCAGGCCUUGAAAAAUCUACCCUGCAACUGCUGGGAUGCAGCACAGGGCAGGGGGGCAUCCCUUCCCCCAGGAGCUGCCAGUCCUGGCCCCUGGACACCAGAAAAAAAAGAGAAGAGAAGCCAAUUUCUGUGCGUCCGUGGUGGUGAAAGUGUCAUUUCUUCCUUCUUUUUUUUUUGGGGGAUGAUUUAUCUCCGCCUCUCUGCCCUGUUCCUCAGCCUUGGCCAAAACUGGAGGGCUGGUGGGGUGUUGUUUCUGCUGCUCUGCCUCGCUGUUGCUUGGGAUGCUGAACUGGUUUCUUAUCAGUUCUGUCUCCCUGGGAGGGAGGGAGGGAGCUGGGGAGGGGUUCCUUGGCCAAGCCCUUUGCGACAGCAUUUGCAGAGCUGGGUGGGAAUUUAGGGCUCUGCUCUGCCUUCAAUUCAUGGCUUUCCUUUGGAAACUUUUGGGGCUCAAAGUCAGUUUUUAAAACGGCCCAACCCCACCCCAGCUGAUUUUUGAGCUGAUUUUUGAGAGAGUUCACGCUCCCAGACGUAACCCGAGGAGUAGAUUUUUCAAGACCUGGCAUCACGCACAUCCGAACCAUUGACAUAAGUAAAUGUAUGGAUAUAUAUGCACAUGACAUUAAAUGGAAUCUGCUGAA